AUCUAAUUAAAGAUUAGGAACUAACUCAUUCACUAAUUUUCAUUUCCACAUAAUGAAUUACAUGUUACAAAACUGCUCAAGAAUGAAAGACGAAUAAAACUGUACAUAAGAAUCAACUGAGGAAAAAACAUAAAAAAUUACGGACUCUAAGCAAUCACCUAUUCCCCGUUCCAAUACGAAGAGGAGUUGAUACUAACUGCUCGAACACUUUGUGAGGAAAAAACAUUAAGAAAUCAGGGACUCCAAGCUAUCACCUAUUCCCCAUUCCAGUAGGAAGAGGAGUUGAUACUAACAGGUCAAACACUUUUCUCUAAGGAAUCAGUAUCCUACACAGCAGCAUUCUAAUGCUGCUCUCCUGAUGCCUGCAAAAUUUCAUCUAUCCCACAUGGCCUGAAAGAUUGCAGGUCUAUGCUUCAGCCAAUGUACCAU
RNAcentral lists this long non-coding RNA (429 nucleotides) under Nicotiana benthamiana. RNAcentral describes it as "long non-coding RNA (NBEN_LNC015177)". The record is from RNAcentral. Lineage: Eukaryota; Viridiplantae; Streptophyta; Magnoliopsida; Solanales; Solanaceae.